CAGGCCUAACACAUGCAAGUCGAACGAAGGCUUCGGCCUUAGUGGCGCACGGGUGCGUAACGCGUGGGAAUCUGCCCUUGGGUUCGGAAUAACAGCUAGAAAUGGCUGCUAAUACCGGAUGAUGACGUAAGUCCAAAGAUUUAUCGCCCAAGGAUGAGCCCGCGUAGGAUUAGCUAGUUGGUGAGGUAAAGGCUCACCAAGGCGACGAUCCUUAGCUGGUCUGAGAGGAUGAUCAGCCACACUGGGACUGAGACACGGCCCAGACUCCUACGGGAGGCAGCAGUGGGGAAUAUUGGACAAUGGGCGAAAGCCUGAUCCAGCAAUGCCGCGUGAGUGAUGAAGGCCUUAGGGUUGUAAAGCUCUUUUACCCGGGAUGAUAAUGACAGUACCGGGAGAAUAAGCUCCGGCUAACUCCGUGCCAGCAGCCGCGGUAAU
Molecule: ribosomal RNA, 435 nt
Filed under: uncultured bacterium
Lineage: Bacteria
Description: bacterial SSU rRNA
Rfam family: Bacterial small subunit ribosomal RNA
Source: RNAcentral